Molecule: long non-coding RNA, 882 nt
Organism: Puma concolor (puma)
Lineage: Eukaryota; Metazoa; Chordata; Mammalia; Carnivora; Felidae
Source: RefSeq, a predicted model, not a curated record
GUUCCCCUGCCCUUGAAUCCAGGCUCUCCUGUUGCUUGCUCCAGAGAACAUAGCAGAAGUGAAGGUGAUACUGAGCCAGACCCCUAAGGCGGUGGGUUCCCUCUUUAAGUCACCCCCGGUAACUCGGAAAUCAGAGCUCCCCCCUUUGUGGGGGACAGCACCUUGGUACCACUUCUAGUGGAGAGAGGGUGCGGCGUGGGUAGGAAGUAAUGCAGAAAGUUUUCAGGUCUCCCGUUCAGAACUGGGGAAAAGGGAAACACAGUGGCUCGCUGUUCCUCCUUCUUCAUUGGAAAGGAAGCUCUAGCAAGCUGGAAGACCAAGUGGGAACAGGGACCUCCUCCAUCGCAGUCCAAAGGAGCGCCUGGAUCACGCUUGUCUGGACGUUGAAGCCCUCUGGAGCACUAGGAGAGCCAUGGUGAGCCAGCAGGAGGGGACUGCGCAAGUUGCUGAAAGAGAUUCGUUAAAACCUCGACCAUGGUUACAAAUUUGCCCACUUGUCUCUUUUCUUCUGUCAACUUUCUGCUUCAUGCAGCCCUGUUAUUAGAUGUCCCCGAUUCGAUCGGUGGAAGCCACUUCAAGACAGCUUCUGUAUCCUUCUGACAUGUCCCCAUUAUUCUUUGAGUGCUUCCGUGCAUUCUGGCCCAGGAUGCUCCAGACUUGCCUUGUACUUUCCCUGCCCAGUCCUGGAAUCAGCCAUUCUCUGGGGAUCCCUGCCUUCUUUCUUUGAAACCGUUGUUUAGAAAACAAAAUCUAGGUCUUGCUAAUGAGGUGUAUCCACUCCUGGCUCUGUGUGAACACAGCUUGAGAAUAUGUAUGCAUAUGUAUGCAUACAUAUAGUAUCUAUUAUAUAUCUGUUAUAUAUGCAUAUAUUAUUAUAAUGUA